This 501-nucleotide ribosomal RNA is filed under the name uncultured bacterium. RNAcentral describes it as "partial 16S ribosomal RNA". It matches the Rfam family "Bacterial small subunit ribosomal RNA", at positions 30 to 523 of the family's 1533-position model. The record is from RNAcentral.
AUUGAACGCUGGCGGCAGGCUUAACACAUGCAAGUCGAGCGGAGAUGAGGUGCUUGCACCUUAUCUUAGCGGCGGACGGGUGAGUAAUGCUUAGGAAUCUGCCUAUCAGUGGGGGACAACAUUCCGAAAGGAAUGCUAAUACCGCAUACGUCCUACGGGAGAAAGCAGGGGAACUACGGACCUUGCGCUAAUAGAUGAGCCUAAGUGGGAUUAGCUAGUUGGUGGGGUAAAGGCCUACCAAGGCGACGAUCUGUAGCGGGUCUGAGAGGAUGAUCCGCCACACUGGGACUGAGACACGGCCCAGACUCCUACGGGAGGCAGCAGUGGGGAAUACUGGACAAUGGGGGGAACCCUGAUCCAGCCAUGCCGCGUGUGUGAAGAAGGCCUUAUGGUUGUAAAGCACUUUAAGCGAGGAGGAGGCUACUUUAGUUAAUACCUAGAGAUAGUGGACGUUACUCGCAGAAUAAGCACCGGCUAACUCUGUGCCAGCAGCCGCCGCGG